This 253-nucleotide ribosomal RNA is filed under the name uncultured bacterium. Its description in RNAcentral is "partial 16S ribosomal RNA". It matches the Rfam family "Bacterial small subunit ribosomal RNA", at positions 524 to 776 of the family's 1533-position model. The record is from RNAcentral.
UACGAAGGGGGCUAGCGUUGCUCGGAAUGACUGGGCGUAAAGGGCGCGUAGGCGGUUCGUACAGUCAGACGUGAAAUUCCCGGGCUCAACCUGGGGACUGCGUUUGAUACGUGCGGGCUUGAGUUCGGAAGAGGGUCGUGGAAUUCCCAGUGUAGAGGUGAAAUUCGUAGAUAUUGGGAAGAACACCGGUGGCGAAGGCGGCGACCUGGUCCGAUACUGACACUGAGGAGCGAAAGCCAGGGGAGCAAACGGG